AUUGAACGCUGGCGGCAGGCCUAACACAUGCAAUUCGAACGAGUGGCGGAAGGGUGAGUAAUGUCUGGGAAACUGCCCGAUGGAGGGGGAUAACUACUGGAAACGGUAGCUAAUACCGCAUACCAUCGGAUGUGCCCAGAUGGGAUUAGCUAGUAGGUGGGGUAACGGCUCACCUAGGCGACUAUCCCUAGCUGGUCUGAGAGGAUGACCAGCCACACUGGAACUGAGACACUGUCCAGACUCCUACGGUAGGCAGCAGUGGGGCAUAUUGCACAAUGGGCGCAAGCCUGAUGCAUCCAUGCCGCGUGUAUGAAGAAGGCCUUCGGGUUGUAAAGUACUUUCAGCGGGGAUGCGUUACCCGCAGAAGAAGCACCGGCUAACUCCGUGCCAGCCGCCGCGGUAAUAC
This 406-nucleotide ribosomal RNA is filed under the name uncultured bacterium. RNAcentral describes it as "partial 16S ribosomal RNA". It matches the Rfam family "Bacterial small subunit ribosomal RNA", at positions 30 to 526 of the family's 1533-position model. The record is from RNAcentral.